Molecule: ribosomal RNA, 253 nt
Filed under: uncultured bacterium
Lineage: Bacteria
Description: partial 16S ribosomal RNA
Rfam family: Bacterial small subunit ribosomal RNA
Source: RNAcentral
GACAGAGGUGCCAAGCGUUAGGCGGAAUCACUGGGCUUAAAGCGUGUGUAGGCGGAAUGGUAAGUACCUUGUGAAAUCCCACGGCUCAACCGUGGAACUGCUGGGUAUACUGCUUUUCUUGAGCCACUUAGGGGCUGUCGGAAUAAACGGUGGAGCGGUGAAAUGCGUAGAUAUCGUUUGGAACGCCAAUGGUGAAAACAGACAGCUGGGAGUGUGCUGACGCUGAGACACGAAAGCCAGGGGAGCGAACGGG